GAGGUACCAUCAGAGUUGAGGCCGUUCUGCUCUACGCCGAGACAUGAUGUUGAUGCACCAGGUCUCAAUCUAUACAGGUAUGCAAUCUGAUUCAUAUUUUGUAUGACACGUGCAAGUGAUUGUGCAUAACAAUUGGCACUGUAUGCACUUUUACCAAAUUUUUAGGACUGACUACCUCAGUGAUGAGCUGUCCAGCUGUGAUGACUCUGACUCGGAUAUCAUUGACUACACAAAUGACUCGUCAUACGUCUGUGAUGAGCUGAACGAUGAUGACAGUGACCCUGAGCCACCUGUACAGGAAAUGUGUGCUGAAGGUGGGGUGACUACAAAGAAAUACAUUGUUUUGAAUCCUGCUUGAUGGAACUGUUGAAGCGUUGCCGGGUUUGUGGAGCAUCCGAAAGCAGAGUAGACAUUGCGGCAACAGGAACAAUGAUUUCUGCUACCAUAAAGUGUGCCAAAAACCAUGUAACGAAGUGGUCGAGUCAGCCGAUGGCCAAAGGAAAGGCUCUUGGCAAUUUGUUGUUGUGCUGCGCCAUUCUAUUCACUGGGAGCAGUCCAACCAAAGUGAUUCGCCUAUUGUCAGUUAUGGGAGUGCAGUCACUUCAAAAGACACAGUACUUCCAGUACCAAAGGUGCUACCUACUUCCAGCGGUUGAGCAGGUUUGUAUUGGCAAUGCUGCCUACUUGUAUCAAAUUGCUAGUCUCUACAACUGUCAUGAGCUAUGUGCAUGUCUUCAGGCUCACGUCUAAGUACAGCUGGGCCCACUCUAAGGGGGAAACCACUAAUGCAUGGCCUGCAGGCUCGAG
Long non-coding RNA from Dermacentor silvarum, 807 nucleotides. RefSeq lists it as uncharacterized. The transcript is spliced from 3 exons. The record is from RefSeq and is a predicted model, not a curated record. NCBI's taxonomy places the organism in Eukaryota, Metazoa, Arthropoda, Arachnida, Ixodida, Ixodidae.